GGUUAUUCCGUUAACGAACGAGACCUUAACCUGCUAACUAGUCUGUCUGUGAAUAACAGAUUGUACUUCUUAGAGGGACUAUUGUGCAAGAAGCCAAUGGAAGUUUAAGGCAAUAACAGGUCUGUGAUGCCCCUAGACGUGCUCGGCCGCACGCGCGUUACAAUGACUGGCGCAGAAAGUAUUUCCUGUCCUGGGAAGGUACGGGUAAUCUUAUUAAUACCAGUCGUGUUAGGGAUAGUUCUUUGGAAUUUUGGAUCUUGAACGAGGAAUUUCUAGUAAGUGCAAGUCAUCAGCUUGCGUUGAUUAUGUCCCUGCCGUUUGUACACACCGCCCGUCGCUUGUAGUAACGAAUGGUCUGGUGAACCUUCUGGACUGUGACAGCAAUGUUACGGAAAAAUAAGUAAACCCUACCAUUUGGAACAACAAGAAGUCGUAACAAGGUAUCUGUAGGUGAACCUGCAGAUGGAUCAUUA
Molecule: ribosomal RNA, 473 nt
Filed under: Tetrahymena nanneyi
Lineage: Eukaryota; Ciliophora; Oligohymenophorea; Hymenostomatida; Tetrahymenidae
Description: SSU rRNA
Rfam family: Eukaryotic small subunit ribosomal RNA
Source: RNAcentral